AGGGACUUGUCAGCUCCUUGCAAGACCAAGGCAUUUUGAACGACUACUUUGACAAACUGAAAGGGUUACAAACGAUCCUUGCUUUGUCCAUGAAUGUAUCACCAUCUUCCUUCGUGAAGCUCAAGAUUACAGAGCAGAACUCACAACAAAUCUGAGUGAGUCUGAUGUCAACUAUAUCCUAAGGUGCAUCAUGCAUGAUGUUGCUGUCAAGCUCAAAGCCGGAUGGUCCUUGUUUGUCAAGAGCUCCGAGAUGCAAGUGAAGCAAAGAACAAACAAGGGUGCCUUGUGGGUCUAGACAAUGUCAACCGUGAAUAUCUUGUCACUCGAGAGAAUUUGAAUCGUAUUGUGGAUGCCAAUUGGAAACUUUAUGUUAGAAAGUAUGAAAUUACCCAUAAAAAGGGAGAAGGAAGGAUUAGGUUGAAUAAUAAUAAAAUAUUAUUCCCAUCAGUUACUUCACUAAAUAUGAAAACUGUUCAACACAUUCUUUAACAAAGAUUU
This is a non-coding RNA of Prunus avium (sweet cherry), 498 nucleotides long. NCBI's taxonomy places the organism in Eukaryota, Viridiplantae, Streptophyta, Magnoliopsida, Rosales, Rosaceae. The record is from RefSeq and is a predicted model, not a curated record.